RNAcentral lists this ribosomal RNA (497 nucleotides) under uncultured bacterium. RNAcentral's name for it is "partial 16S ribosomal RNA". It matches the Rfam family "Bacterial small subunit ribosomal RNA", at positions 28 to 507 of the family's 1533-position model. The record is from RNAcentral.
GAUGAACGCUGGCGGCGUGCCUAAUACAUGCAAGUCGAGCGAACGGACGAGAAGCUUGCUUCUCUGAUGUUAGCGGCGGACGGGUGAGUAACACGUGGAUAACCUACCUAUAAGACUGGGAUAACUUCGGGAAACCGGAGCUAAUACCGGAUAAUAUUUUGAACCGCAUGGUUCAAAAGUGAAAGACGGUCUUGCUGUCACUUAUAGAUGGAUCCGCGCUGCAUUAGCUAGUUGGUAAGGUAACGGCUUACCAAGGCAACGAUGCAUAGCCGACCUGAGAGGCGGAUCGCCCACACUGGAACUGAGACACGGUCCAGACUCCUACGGGAGGCAGCAGUAGGGAAUCGUCCGCAAUGGGCGAAAGCCUGACGGAGCAACGCCGCGUGAGUGAUGAAGGUCUUCGGUUCGUAAAACUCUGUUAUUAGGGAAGAACAUAUGUGUAAGUAACUGUGCACAUCGUGACGGUACCUAAUCAGAAAGCCACGGCUAACUACGUG